This 107-nucleotide small nucleolar RNA is filed under the name Conidiobolus coronatus NRRL 28638. RNAcentral describes it as "A. fumigatus snoRNA Afu_514". It matches the Rfam family "A. fumigatus snoRNA Afu_514". Lineage: Eukaryota; Fungi; Entomophthoromycota; Entomophthoromycetes; Entomophthorales; Conidiobolaceae. The record is from Rfam by way of RNAcentral.
UAAAAUGAUGGUCGUAAUUUGCGUUUGAAUAACUCUUGGGGAGACACACGCCAGUGUCUCUUAACUCAAUAGUCUACUAUGUGAUCAACUUCUAACUGAUUUUUAUU